CCUACGGGUGGCAGCAGUGAGGAAUAUUGGUCAAUGGGCUUACGCCUGAACCAGCCAAGUCGCGUGCGGGAAGACUGCCCUAUGGGUUGUAAACCUCUUUUGUCCGGGAGCAACGCCGGCUACGUGUAGUCGGUCUGAGAGUCCCUGAAGAUAAAGAAUCGGCUAACUCCGUGCCAGCAGCCGCGGUAUUACGUAGGAUGCGAGCUUUAUCCGGAUUUAUUGGGUUAAAAGGAUGCGUGGGCGGAAUGCCACGUCAGCGGUAAAAUCCGUGGGCUCAACCUCGCUCCGCCGUUGAAACUGGCUUGCUUGAGUGGGCGAGAAGUAUGCGGAAUGCGUGGUGUAGCGGUGAAAUGCAUAGAUAUAACGAAGAACUCCGAUUGCGAAGGCAGCAUACCGGCGCCCAACUGACGCUGAAGCACGAAAGCGUGGGUAUCGAACAGGAUUAGAUACCCUAGUAGUC
This 460-nucleotide ribosomal RNA is filed under the name uncultured bacterium. RNAcentral describes it as "partial 16S ribosomal RNA". It matches the Rfam family "Bacterial small subunit ribosomal RNA", at positions 338 to 795 of the family's 1533-position model. The record is from RNAcentral.